UGAACGCUAGCUACAGGCUUAACACAUGCAAGUCGAGGGGCAGCAUGGUCUUAGCUUGCUAAGGCCGAUGGCGACCGGCGCACGGGUGAGUAACACGUAUCCAACCUGCCGUCUACUCUUGGACAGCCUUCUGAAAGGAAGAUUAAUACAAGAUGGCAUCAUGAGUCCGCAUGUUCACAUGAUUAAAGGUAUUCCGGUAGACGAUGGGGAUGCGUUCCAUUAGAUAGUAGGCGGGGUAACGGCCCACCUAGUCUUCGAUGGAUAGGGGUUCUGAGAGGAAGGUCCCCCACAUUGGAACUGAGACACGGUCCAAACUCCUACGGGAGGCAGCAGUGAGGAAUAUUGGUCAAUGGGCGAGAGCCUGAACCAGCCAAGUAGCGUGAAGGAUGACUGCCCUAUGGGUUGUAAACUUCUUUUAUAAAGGAAUAAAGUCGGGUAUGGAUACCCGUUUGCAUGUACUUUAUGAAUAAGGAUCGGCUAACUCCGUGCCAGCAGCCGCGGUAAUACGGAGGAUCCGAGCGUUAUCCGGAUUUAUUGGGUUUAAAGGGAGCGUAGAUGGAUGUUUAAGUCAGUUGUGAAAGUUUGCGGCUCAACCGUAAAAUUGCAGUUGAUACUGGAUAUCUUGAGUGCAGUUGAGGCAGGCGGAAUUCGUGGUGUAGCGGUGAAAUGCUUAGAUAUCACGAAGAACUCCGAUUGCGAAGGCAGCCUGCUAAGCUGCAACUGACAUUGAGGCUCGAAAGUGUGGGUAUCAAACAGGAUUAGAUACCCUGGUAGUCCACACGGUAAACGAUGAAUACUCGCUGUUUGCGAUAUACUGCAAGCGGCCAAGCGAAAGCGUUAAGUAUUCCACCUGGGGAGUACGCCGGCAACGGUGAAACUCAAAGGAAUUGACGGGGGCCCGCACAAGCGGAGGAACAUGUGGUUUAAUUCGAUGAUACGCGAGGAACCUUACCCGGGCUUAAAUUGCAGAUGAAUUACGGUGAAAGCCGUAAGCCGCAAGGCAUCUGUGAAGGUGCUGCAUGGUUGUCGUCAGCUCGUGCCGUGAGGUGUCGGCUUAAGUGCCAUAACGAGCGCAACCCUUGUUGUCAGUUACUAACAGGUUCCGCUGAGGACUCUGACAAGACUGCCAUCGUAAGAUGUGAGGAAGGUGGGGAUGACGUCAAAUCAGCACGGCCCUUACGUCCGGGGCUACACACGUGUUACAAUGGGGGGUACAGAGGGCCGCUACCACGCGAGUGGAUGCCAAUCCCCAAAACCUCUCUCAGUUCGGACUGGAGUCUGCAACCCGACUCCACGAAGCUGGAUUCGCUAGUAAUCGCGCAUCAGCCACGGCGCGGUGAAUACGUUCCCGGGCCUUGUACACACCGCCCGUCAAGCCAUGGGAGCCGGGGGUACCUGAAGUGCGUAACCGCGAGGAGCGCCCUAGGGUAAAACUGGUGACUGGG
Molecule: ribosomal RNA, 1445 nt
Filed under: uncultured organism
Description: SSU rRNA
Rfam family: Bacterial small subunit ribosomal RNA
Source: RNAcentral